This is a long non-coding RNA of Haliotis rubra (blacklip abalone), 864 nucleotides long. RefSeq lists it as uncharacterized. Lineage: Eukaryota; Metazoa; Mollusca; Gastropoda; Lepetellida; Haliotidae. The transcript is spliced from 2 exons. The record is from RefSeq and is a predicted model, not a curated record.
GGCUGUGUGGACAAAUGAGAGGGAUAUGCUGUACAAUUGUCUGAGAGGCCAACCUGCGAAGCAAAGGAAUAGCAUCCAAGUACAAGAUCCGGGUUAAACGAGAGAAGGUGGCAACAAUUGUGAAACGUACAGGCCAGAAAACCGGACCAUCGACGUCACGCCACAAAAAUACUCUUUUCACCAUGAGUGUCAGAGAUAUAAAGGGGGUCAGGGCUGACGACUCCGCUCAACAACUGCAAAGACAGCUUAGCAAUUAGGCCCACCAUCGACACAUGACCGUGAGGACCACGUCUCAACGCUAUUAUACGUUGCUGAUGACAAUUUGAAUCUUCGAUACUAAAUAAAGGGAACAUUGUAUGGUUUCCACUCAUUAGUGAGGGAAGCAAAGGCUUCCUUAGUCGCUGUCAAUAAAACUAAUAACUUGUCCCACAAGCGCAUGUCCCAAUACAGACCCAUUCGACGCAAGACUGACCUAAAGUUCAAGGACAACAUGUUUCCAUGCGUCAAGGACGGGUCAGUCAGAUCCCAUACUACAGAAUUUGUACCUAAUCGGAAUUUCAUUUAAGGAACAAAGGAAUAUUAUAGAGCCGACUGCUCUUCAUACGCAAGCUUUUACAGAAGUGUUCUCCGAUUCCAUUAUGGUUUGACACACAAAUAUAAGGGACCAUACCGAAAUAUGAUCUAUUAAAUGUGGUCCUCUGUGAAUAGUUAAGUAGGCGAUGUCCAUUACGCUAUUGUAAUCUCGCGGCUUAAUGAUACGGCGAGGAUAAAUCCGCGAGGAACUCCAUUAAGUUAUUUACUGCGCCUGACAAUAAUAAACUAACAAAGAAACCAUUGCUAAAGCAAAUUGAAUAAAAAAUGGUC